GUUUUAAUAGUUUAAUAAAAACAUUGAUUUUGUAAAUCAAAAAUAGAUUAAAACUUUAAAACU
RNAcentral lists this transfer RNA (63 nucleotides) under Phatnoma laciniatum. RNAcentral describes it as "tRNA-Thr". The record is from RNAcentral. Lineage: Eukaryota; Metazoa; Arthropoda; Insecta; Hemiptera; Tingidae.